CGAGCACGCGCGUGUGGCAUAUCAAUAAGCGGAGGAAAAGAAACUAACAUAGGAUUCCCUCAGUAACGGCGAGUGAAGCGGGAAGAGCUCAAAUUUGAAAUCUUCAAGGUUCUACCUUGACGAAUUGUAGUUUAUAGAAGUGUUUUCUGUAGUGGAGUUUGGUAAAAGUUCUUUGGAAUAGGACAUCAUAGAGGGUGAGAAUCCCGUAUUUGGACCAUUAUUCCUAGCGUUGUGAUACACUUUCAAAGAGUCGGAUUGUUUGGGAAUGCAGUCCAAAAUGGGUGGUAAAUUUCAUCUAAAGCUAAAUACUGGCGAGAGACCGAUAGCGAACAAGUACCGUGAGGGAAAGAUGAAAAGAACUUUGAAAAGAGAGUUAAACAGUACGUGAAAUUGUCAAAAGGGAAGCGUUUGACACCAGUGUUGUUUUCUCGAAAAUCAAUUAAGAAUGCGGAUUUUGUUUUAAGGAGUAUGACUUUAUCAGGCUUUCUGCACUUUUUUCCUGUAACUUUUUUAAUGCACUUUUCGGUUAACAAGUCAACAUCAAUUUCUUUUGCUGUAAAAGAGGUCAUUGAGGAAGGUGGCUUUCUUUUCGGAGAAAGUGUUUAUAGCCUUUGGCUUCUGCAAUCGGAGAGAUUGAGGUCUGCAGCGUAGAUCCUUCGGGGUUAGAUACAGUUUGUGCUAAGUUAUAGCCUUUUCAUAGACAACUUGUUGACUAUGUAUCAGUCAUGUAGCUUACUCGCUGACUGUCUAUUUUACCUACGCUUAGGAUGUUGAUGUGAUACUGCGAGC
This 789-nucleotide ribosomal RNA is filed under the name uncultured Neocallimastigales. RNAcentral describes it as "partial large subunit ribosomal RNA". It matches the Rfam family "Eukaryotic large subunit ribosomal RNA", at positions 19 to 645 of the family's 3401-position model. The record is from RNAcentral. Lineage: Eukaryota; Fungi; Neocallimastigomycota; Neocallimastigomycetes; Neocallimastigales.